GAUGAACGCUGGCGGCGUGCCUAAUACAUGCAAGUCGAACGGACAGACGCUACUUUUGCUUCUCUGACGCUAGCGGCGCACGUGUGAGUAACACGUGUAUAACCCCCCUAUCAUACUGGUAUCAUUUCGAGAAUCCGGAGCUUAUCCCGGAUAAUCUUUUGCACCGCAUUGUUCAAAAGUGAAAUUCGGUCUUUCUGUCACUUCUCGCUGCUUCCGGGCUGCAUUAGCUAGUUGGUCGGGUAACGGCUUACCUAGGCAACGAUGCCUAGCCGAUCUGAGAGGGUGAUCGGCCACACUGGAACUGAGACACGGUCCAGACUCCUACGGGAGGCAGCAGUGGGGAAUAUUGCGCAAAGGGCGCAAGCCUGAUGCAGCCAUGCCGCGUGUGUGAAGAAGGCCUUCGGGUCGUAAAGUACUUUCAGCGGGGAGGAAGAGAGUAAAGUUAAUACGUUGGCUCAUUGACGGUACCCGCAGAAGAAGCACCGGCUAACUACGUG
Molecule: ribosomal RNA, 497 nt
Filed under: uncultured bacterium
Lineage: Bacteria
Description: partial 16S ribosomal RNA
Rfam family: Bacterial small subunit ribosomal RNA
Source: RNAcentral